Molecule: long non-coding RNA, 788 nt
Organism: Gopherus evgoodei (Goodes thornscrub tortoise)
Lineage: Eukaryota; Metazoa; Chordata; Testudines; Testudinidae
Exons: 2
Source: RefSeq, a predicted model, not a curated record
CUAUGUUAAGGCCUAAACUUCUUAGAAUCAUUUAUAUUAAAUGCAAAAAUUAAUAUUAAGCAGUACAUUUCCUGCCAAGUUUUAAGGAAGUUAACCAUUGCACUGGUGGAAGCUACUGGCCAAACAUCUGAAAUCAGUGUUUGUUGAAGUGCUAAGCCAGCUUUUGACAGCACCUCAACCUCUUCUGCAAGUGCAGAGACUUUGUCAUUUCAAUUUAUUCAGCUAGUUCACUUUAGUGACUAAUUCAUUCAAAGUUCAGAAAGCAAUUGGGAGUGGUAAAAGCAGAAAAUCUUGUUUUCUUCUUCCAAUCUUGGAAUAAAAAAAAAAGUAGGAGAGAGUAGGCUUCUACUAGUUCUAAAAAAAUCUUCCAGGACAUGCUGAAGUGAACAGAUUGUGUCUGUAGUUGGUGACCAGAAACAUACUUCCCCCUUUGUUUAAAUAAAUCAGUUAAAUUUUACAUGUAGAACAAGCUGAUAAAUAUGCUGGAUAAAUUACCUUACAUAAGAAAAAAGUUUAACAAACAUUUUAAAUCCUAUUUUUGUGCAUUCUGAAUUGAGUUUGAAUUUCUAUCCAGAGAUAGACACAAAUCACAACUAACAACUUCGACAUCAUUCACCAUUUUCUAACAAUAAAAAAAAUUUUAAAAAGGAAAAUAGAGAAUCUGUAUAAAAGUAUAGUUAAGCUAUAAUUACUUAAACAUGCAUACAGUAUUUCCUUGGGUAAGCAAAAAAAAAGAAACACCAAAAUUAGUGUCAAGGCUAUAUUUCAUUUCAAAUAAUAAUUUUAAG